CUACGGGGGGCUGCAGUGGGGAAUAUUGGACAAUGGGGGAAACCCUGAUCCAGCAAUGCCGCGUGUGUGAAGAAGGCCUGCGGGUUGUAAAGCACUUUCGGUUGGGAGGACUGCUUCUAGCACUAAUAUUGUUGGAAGUUGACGUUACCUUCAGAAGAAGCACCGGCUAACUCCGUGCCAGCAGCCGCGGUAAUACGGAGGGUGCAGGCGUUAAUCGGAAUAACUGGGCGUAAAGCGCGCGUAGGCGGCUAGAUCAGUCGGGUGUGAAAGCCCCGGGCUUAACCUGGAACUGCAUCCGAUACUGUCUAGCUUGAGUACAGGAGAGGAGAGUGGAAUUCCACAUGUAGCGGUGAAAUGCGUAGAUAUGUGGAGGAACACCAAUGGCGAAGGCAACUCUCUGGCCUGAUACUGACGCUGAGGUGCGAAAGCGUGGGGAGCAAACAGGAUUAGAUACCCUAGUAGUC
This 464-nucleotide ribosomal RNA is filed under the name uncultured bacterium. RNAcentral's name for it is "partial 16S ribosomal RNA". It matches the Rfam family "Bacterial small subunit ribosomal RNA", at positions 339 to 795 of the family's 1533-position model. The record is from RNAcentral.